RNAcentral lists this ribosomal RNA (363 nucleotides) under Triticum aestivum (bread wheat). RNAcentral describes it as "partial small subunit ribosomal RNA". The record is from RNAcentral. Lineage: Eukaryota; Viridiplantae; Streptophyta; Magnoliopsida; Poales; Poaceae.
AUGGCGACCACCCCUCGCAGAGCUGCAACCCAGACCACACCACCAUCGCUGGAAGGAAACAUGACGCCCACUGCAAGCCGCCGAGCGGGAACACCACUGAAGAACACUGACGACCCAGCACCAACGUCGCAGCCCCAGCCAUCACCUCCACCAUCCCAAGGCGGCGCCUUCAAGAAGAACAACGACGCCGGUGCGCCGUCACCGCCCAAUCCAAAGAUUUUGGGCUUUCACCCGGGGUAUGUUGGUGGAGUGCAGGAGCAGGAUCUCGAUGCCACCUACAAGAGAGGGGACGACGCCCGGAGCGUCGCUGACACCGUGGCCACCGCCGCCGGCCAAGGGGUUACCCCGAACCAGAGCUCCUAG